RNAcentral lists this ribosomal RNA (253 nucleotides) under uncultured bacterium. RNAcentral's name for it is "partial 16S ribosomal RNA". It matches the Rfam family "Bacterial small subunit ribosomal RNA", at positions 524 to 776 of the family's 1533-position model. The record is from RNAcentral.
GACAGAGGGUGCAAACGUUGUUCGGAAUUACUGGGCGUAAAGCGUGUGUAGGCGGCUACAUAAGUCGGAUGUGAAAGCCCCGGGCUCAACCCGGGAAGUGCACUCGAUACUGCGUAGCUUGAGUCUCGGAGAGGUUGGUGGAAUUCCUAGUGUAGAGGUGAAAUUCGUAGAUAUUAGGAAGAACACCAGUGGCGAAGGCGGCUCACUGGCCCGGUACUGACGCUGAGGCGCGAAAGCGUGGGGAGCAAACAGG